This 404-nucleotide ribosomal RNA is filed under the name Actinomycetes bacterium. RNAcentral describes it as "Actinobacteria bacterium partial 16S ribosomal RNA". It matches the Rfam family "Bacterial small subunit ribosomal RNA", at positions 355 to 776 of the family's 1533-position model. Lineage: Bacteria; Bacillati; Actinomycetota; Actinomycetes. The record is from RNAcentral.
UGGGGAAUAUUGGACAAUGGGCGCAAGCCUGAUCCAGCCAUGCCGCGUGAGUGAUGAAGGCCCUAGGGUAGUAAAGCUCUUUCACCGGUGAAGAUAAUGACGGUAACCGGAGAAGAAGCCCCGGCUAACUUCGUGCCAGCAGCCGCGGUAAUACGAAGGGGGCUAGCGUUGUUCGGAUUUACUGGGCGUAAAGCGCACGUAGGCGGACUUUUAAGUCAGGGGUGAAAUCCCGGGGCUCAACCCCGGAACUGCCUUUGAUACUGGAAGUCUUGAGUAUGGUAGAGGUGAGUGGAAUUCCGAGUGUAGAGGUGAAAUUCGUAGAUAUUCGGAGGAACACCAGUGGCGAAGGCGGCUCACUGGACCAUUACUGACGAUGAGGUGCGAAAGCGUGGGGAGCAAACAGG